AGUGGGGAAUAUUGCGUNNUGGGGGGAACCCUGACGCAGCCAUGCCGCGUGAAUGAAGAAGGCCUUCGGGUUGUAAAGUUCUUUCGGUAUUGAGGAAGGUUGAUGUGUUAAUAGCACAUCAAAUUGACGUUAAAUACAGAAGAAGCACCGGCUAACUCCGUGCCAGCAGCCGCGGUAAUACGGAGGGUGCGAGCGUUAAUCGGAAUAACUGGGCGUAAAGGGCACGCAGGCGGUUAUUUAAGUGAGGUGUGAAAGCCCCGGGCUUAACCUGGGAAUUGCAUUUCAGACUGGGUAACUAGAGUACUUUAGGGAGGGGUAGAAUUCCACAUGUAGCGGUGAAAUGCGUAGAGAUGUGGAGGAAUACCGAAGGCGAAGGCAGCCCCUUGGGAAUGUACUGACGCUCAUGUGCGAAAGCGUGGGGAGCAAACAGGAUUAGAUACCCUGGUAGUCCACGCCGUAAACGAUGUCUACCAGUCGUUGGGUCUUUUAAAGACUUAGUGACGCAAGUUAAUGCAAUAAGUAGACCGCCUGGGGAGUACGGCCGCAAAGGUUA
Molecule: ribosomal RNA, 553 nt
Filed under: uncultured bacterium
Lineage: Bacteria
Description: bacterial SSU rRNA
Rfam family: Bacterial small subunit ribosomal RNA
Source: RNAcentral